RNAcentral lists this ribosomal RNA (460 nucleotides) under uncultured bacterium. RNAcentral describes it as "partial 16S ribosomal RNA". It matches the Rfam family "Bacterial small subunit ribosomal RNA", at positions 338 to 795 of the family's 1533-position model. The record is from RNAcentral.
CCUACGGGUGGCAGCAGUGAGGAAUAUUGGUCAAUGGACGAGAGUCUGAACCAGCCAAGUAGCGUGAAGGAUGAAUGCCCUCUGGGUUGUAAACUUCUUUUAUAUGGGAAUAAAACGUUCCACGUGUGGGAUUUUGUAUGUACCAUAUGAAUAAGGAUCGGCUAACUCCGUGCCAGCAGCCGCGGUAAUACGGAGGAUCCGAGCGUUAUCCGGAUUUAUUGGGUUUAAAGGGAGCGUAGGUGGGUUGUUAAGUCAGUUGUGAAAGUUUGCGGGUCAACCGUAAAAUUGCAGUUGAAACUGGCAGUCUUGAGUAGAGGAGAGGUAGGCGGAAUGCGUGGUGUAGCGGUGAAAUGCUUAGAUAUCACGCAGAACUCCGAUUGCGAAGGCAGUACACUGGACUGCAACUGACGCUGAGGCACGAAAGUGUGGGUAUCAAACAGGAUUAGAUACCCGGGUAGUC